Molecule: long non-coding RNA, 254 nt
Filed under: Elaeis guineensis (African oil palm)
Lineage: Eukaryota; Viridiplantae; Streptophyta; Magnoliopsida; Arecales; Arecaceae
Description: long non-coding RNA (EGUI_LNC057162)
Source: RNAcentral
GUUCUAACUUUGUUGAUCUAGGCUUGAGGAUGAUGUUGCAAGCUGUAUAUACGUCUGGCCUCUAGGAGUCAUCUACACAAGCCCACGAAUCUCGAUCAGAAGUCCUGAUCCAGGAAAUUAGCACAGUAUGCUAAUACUGCGCUGAUCCUUCUUCGAUGGUCAAUCAGAUACCUCUUUCUUUUUGAUUUGAGCUCUUCUAAAGAUGAGAAGUAGGAGAAAGAUUUUUAGAUGAGACACUCUCAGAAAACUCACAU